This 301-nucleotide ribosomal RNA is filed under the name uncultured bacterium. RNAcentral describes it as "partial 16S ribosomal RNA". It matches the Rfam family "Bacterial small subunit ribosomal RNA", at positions 509 to 807 of the family's 1533-position model. The record is from RNAcentral.
CAGUAGCCACGGUAAAACGUAGGUGGCAAGCGUUGUCCGGAAUUAUUGGGCGUAAAGGGCUCGCAGGCGGUUUCUUAAGUCUGAUGUGAAAGCCCCCGGCUCAACCGGGGAGGGUCAUUGGAAACUGGGAAACUUGAAUGCAGAAGAGGAGAGUGGAAUUCCACGUGUAGCGGUGAAAUGCGUAGAGAUGUGGAGGAACACCAGUGGCGAAGGCGACUCUCUGGUCUGUAACUGACGCUGAGGAGCGAAAGCGUGGGGAGCGAACAGGAUUAGAUACCCCAGUAGUCCCUGUCUCUUAUAC